RNAcentral lists this ribosomal RNA (1413 nucleotides) under Psychrobacter sp. RNAcentral describes it as "bacterial SSU rRNA". It matches the Rfam family "Bacterial small subunit ribosomal RNA". Lineage: Bacteria; Pseudomonadati; Pseudomonadota; Gammaproteobacteria; Moraxellales; Moraxellaceae. The record is from RNAcentral.
GCUUACCAUGCAGUCGAGCGGAACGAUGAUAGCUUGCUAUCAGGCGUCGAGCGGCGGACGGGUGAGUAAUACUUAGGAAUCUACCUAGUAGUGGGGGAUAGCACGGGGAAACUCGUAUUAAUACCGCAUACGACCUACGGGAGAAAGGGGGCAGUUUACUGCUCUCGCUAUUAGAUGAGCCUAAGUCGGAUUAGCUAGAUGGUGGGGUAAAGGCCUACCAUGGCGACGAUCUGUAGCUGGUCUGAGAGGAUGAUCAGCCACACCGGGACUGAGACACGGCCCGGACUCCUACGGGAGGCAGCAGUGGGGAAUAUUGGACAAUGGGGGAAACCCUGAUCCAGCCAUGCCGCGUGUGUGAAGAAGGCCUUUUGGUUGUAAAGCACUUUAAGCAGUGAAGAAGACUCCGUGGUUAAUACCCACGGACGAUGACAUUAGCUGCAGAAUAAGCACCGGCUAACUCUGUGCCAGCAGCCGCGGUAAUACAGAGGGUGCAAGCGUUAAUCGGAAUUACUGGGCGUAAAGGGAGCGUAGGUGGCUCUAUAAGUCAGAUGUGAAAUCCCCGGGCUCAACCUGGGAACUGCAUCUGAAACUGUAGAGCUAGAGUAUGUGAGAGGAAGGUAGAAUUCCAGGUGUAGCGGUGAAAUGCGUAGAGAUCUGGAGGAAUACCGAUGGCGAAGGCAGCCUUCUGGCAUAAUACUGACACUGAGGCUCGAAAGCGUGGGUAGCAAACAGGAUUAGAUACCCUGGUAGUCCACGCCGUAAACGAUGUCUACUAGUCGUUGGGUCCCUUGAGGACUUAGUGACGCAGCUAACGCAAUAAGUAGACCGCCUGGGGAGUACGGCCGCAAGGUUAAAACUCAAAUGAAUUGACGGGGGCCCGCACAAGCGGUGGAGCAUGUGGUUUAAUUCGAUGCAACGCGAAGAACCUUACCUGGUCUUGACAUAUCUAGAAUCCUGCAGAGAUGCGGGAGUGCCUUCGGGAAUUAGAAUACAGGUGCUGCAUGGCUGUCGUCAGCUCGUGUCGUGAGAUGUUGGGUUAAGUCCCGCAACGAGCGCAACCCUUGUCCUUAGUUACCAGCGGGUUAAGCCGGGAACUCUAAGGAUACUGCCAGUGACAAACUGGAGGAAGGCGGGGACGACGUCAAGUCAUCAUGGCCCUUACGACCAGGGCUACACACGUGCUACAAUGGUAGGUACAGAGGGCAGCUACACAGCGAUGUGAUGCGAAUCUCAAAAAGCCUAUCGUAGUCCAGAUUGGAGUCUGCAACUCGACUCCAUGAAGUAGGAAUCGCUAGUAAUCGCGGAUCAGAAUGCCGCGGUGAAUACGUUCCCGGGCCUUGUACACACCGCCCGUCACACCAUGGGAGUUGAUUGCACCAGAAGUGGAUAGCUUAACCUUCGGGGGAGCGUCAC